RNAcentral lists this long non-coding RNA (7552 nucleotides) under Prunus persica (peach). RNAcentral describes it as "long non-coding RNA (PPER_LNC003858)". The record is from RNAcentral. Lineage: Eukaryota; Viridiplantae; Streptophyta; Magnoliopsida; Rosales; Rosaceae.
AAAAGGCCAGUGGGAUGAUGGAUAAGGCUAACAAUGCAGCCCAGUCUACCAAGGAGACAAUGCAAGAUGUUGGUCAGAAUGUGCAGGCGAAGGCUCAAGGAGCUGCUGAUGCAGUCAAGAAUGCCACUGGCAUGAACAAAUGAAGCUGCUCAUGAUGAUAAUCAUUUUCAUGACUUUUAAUGACUUUAUAGAGUUAAGAUGAUGGCAAACUUUCAUUUAGUUUUAUAGACUUUUAUGUCUUUCUUUUUUUUUCUUUUUUUUUUCUUUUUUUUUUCUUUCUUACCCUUCUUUUGAAAGAAGGAAUUGAAAAUUGCAUAGAAUUCUAAAAUGAUGGAAUUUAGAUCUUCAUCAUUUUCAGUUAUGGCAAUUAAUAAUUUUAGGGUUCGAAUUUAUGUAUAUCGAAUUUUGCAAAUGAAAUUUCAGGGAAAAACGAAUUCCUUCACUCAAUAGAAAUUGUGAAAUGAUGUCUGCUUUGAAUGAAAUUAAACUCAGAAAUAUUGAGUGCUUAACUUUCGUGCUAAAGUAGCCAAACAAUGAAAAUAUCAAAUUCAACACUUCAAUUCCUAACUUUUAGGUAAAUAAUUAACAUAGGGUAAUAACAGUAUGUAGUAUGACCAAAAGAAAACGAAUUCUAAUAUUAUCUUUUGAUCAUGAUGAAUUAACUCAUGAGAUCUAUAUAACCAAGAUAAUUAUUCAUGUAGAGAUUGAUGAAUAUCAAUUAUGAAUUCGUUGGGUUUGAGACUAUUUCAUCUCUUAUUUCUAAAGGUCUCAUUCUAGGCCUGGGUACCUUAGAGCUUUUUGAAAUAUCCACCAGUUGACCAAACACAUUAAAAUGCACUCAAGUCAAGAAACAAGACUCCACAAAUCAGAAACACAAGAGAACCAAACUAACACAAAAAUACAGAAUGUGAAGGAACUUGGGGUAACUAUCAAGUAGAAAAAUUUCUAUAGAGCUGAUGUAUGCCUUAUUUUCCUCGUAAUAAGUAUUCACAUAACUAAGCACAUGAAAGAAUAUAGCGUGCAUGAAAGAGCUAGUGUAUGCAUUAUUUUUCUCAUAAUAAAUGGUCACAUAACCAAGCACAGGAAAGAAUAUAGUGUGCAUGAUGAUGUAUAAAACUCGUUACAAGUAAGAUUUUUUGUGUUAAAGACAAAAUGCACAAUUUCCUAGAAACUGAAGGAUAAUAUCACUUUUAACUCAUGUGGAGGAUAACCCAACAAGUUUAUUAGCAUUUACUCAUAAGAUGUUCUGGCCAUUCAAUCAAAUAAAAAUAUCUCGUGGAUUGUGGAAUAGUCUUGUGAAUUGUAAUUAAUUGAUAAUAUAACCCAAUAUUACAAGAAUUCCAUAAUGCUGAAAAAAGUAAUUUCCAUUCACAAAACUGUUUAAGAAACCCUCAGAAUAGCAACUUUUAAGACUCAACAGCCUUCCUGGUCAAAAGGCUCACCCUAAGUUAUUGGGCGACACGUGUUAUGGUCCAAAACUAUGACCAGGAUGAAAUGUGUGCAUGACAUCACACAUGUCGAGCAUUCAGCUGGUCUAAAAUCGUAUAUAAACCAUACCCAAUUGUGAGAGAUUCAUCAUCAGCCAAUCGAAUUUGAGUUAUAACAACUUCAUCUAAAUUUCAAGUGUUUUCAAGAAAACAAAGCAAGAAGAAAAUGGCUGACAACUCUCAAAAGAUGAGCUACCAUGUUGGAGAGGCCAAGGGCCAAGCUCAGGUAAUUAGUUCACCUGUAAAUUGUAAUUCUCCAUUUGUUUUUGCUUCUUUCUUCUUUUUUCUUUUAGAUUAAAGUGGGAUGUUUUGUAUUGGAUAAUUUUGGAUUUAACAGGAGAAGGCCGGUGGGAUGAUGGAUAAGGCUAACAAUGCAGCCCAAUCUACCAAGGAGACAAUGCAAGAUGUUGGUCAGAAUGUGCAGGCGAAGGCUCAAGGAGCUGCUGAUGCAGUCAAGAAUGCCACUGGCAUGAACAAAUGAAGCUGCUCAUGAUGAUCAUUUUCAUGACUUUUAAUGACUUUAUAGAGUUAAGAUGAUGGCAAACUUUCAUUUAGUUUUAUAGACUUUUAUGUCUAUUUUUUUUUUUCUGUCUUACCCUUCUUUUGAAAGAAGGAAUUGAAAAUUGCAUAGAAUUAUAAAAUAAUGGAAUUUAGAUCUUCAUCAUUUUAAGUUAUGGCAAUUAAUAAUUUCAGGGUUCAAAUUUAUGUAUAUCGAAUUUUGCAAAUGAAAAAUGAAAUUUCAGGAUUAAAAGAAUUCCUUCACUCAAUAGUGAAAUGAUGUCUCUUUUGAAUGAAAUUAAACCCAGAAAUCUUGAGUGCUUGACUUUUGUGCUAAAAUAGCCAAACAGUGAAAAUAUUAAAUUCUACUCUUCAAUUCUUUACUUUUAGCUAAAUAAUUAACGUAGGGUAAUAGCAGUAUGUAGUAUGACCAAAAGAAAACGAAUUCUAAUAUUAUCUUUUGAUCAUGAUGAAUUAACUCAUGAGAUCUAUAUAACCAAAAUAAUUAUUCAUGUAGAGAUUGAUGAAUAUCAAUUAUGAAUUCGUUGGGUUGAAUAUCAAUUAUGAAUUCGUUGGGUUAGAGACUUUUUCACCUCAGAUUUCUAAAGGUCUCAUUCUGGGCCUUGGUGCCUUAGGGAUUUUUGAAAUAUCCACCAGUUGACCAAACACAUUAAAAUACACUCAAGUCAAGAGAACCAAACUAACACAAAAAUACAGAAUGUGAAUGAACUUGGGGUAACUAUCAAGUAGAAAAAUUUAUAUAGAGCUAGUGUAUGCAGUAUUUUCCUCGUAAUAAGUGUUCACAUAACUAAGCACAUGAAAGAAUGUAGCGUGCAUGAAAGAGCUAGUGUAUGCAUUAUUUUUCUCAUAAUAAGUGGUCACAUAACUAAGCACAGGAAAGAAUAUAGCGUGUAUGAUGAUGUAUAAAACUCGUUACACAUAAGAUUUUUUGCGGUUAAAGACAAAAUGCACACUUGCCCAUAAACUGAAGGAUAAUAUCGCUUUUUAACUCAUGUGGAGGAUAACCCAACAAGUUUAUUAGCAUUUACUCAUAAGAUGUUCUGGCCUUUCAAUCAAAUAAAAAUAUCUCGUGGAUUGUGGAACAGUCUUGUGAAUUGUAAUUAAUUGAUAAUAUAAUCCAAUAUUACAAGAAUUCCAUAAUGCUGAAAAAAGUAAUUUCCAUUCACAAAACUAUAUAAGAAACCCUCAGAAUAGCAACUUUUAAGACUCAACAGCCUUCCUGGUCAAAAGGCUCACCCUAAGUUAUUGGCGACACGUGUUAUGGUCCAAAACCAUGACCAGGAUGAAAUGUGUGCAUGACAUCACACAUGUCGAGCAUUCAGCGGGUCUAAAAUCGUAUAUAAACCAUACCUAACCGUGAGAGAUUCAUCAUCAUCCAAUCAAAUUUGAGUUAUAACAACUUCAUCUGAUUUCCAAGUGUUUUCAAGAAAACAAAGCAAGAAGAAAAUGGCUGACAACUCUCAAAAGAUGAGCUACCAUGCUGGAGAGGCCAAGGGCCAAGCUCAGGUAAUUAGCUCACCUGUAAAUUGUAAUUCUCCAUUUAUUUUUGCUUCUUUCUUUGGUUUUCUUUUAUAUUAAAUUGGGAUGUUUUGUAUUGGAUAAUUUUGGAUUUAAUAGGAGAAGGCCAGUGGGAUGAUGGAUAAGGCUAACAAUGCAGCCCAGUCUACCAAGGAGACAAUGCAAGAUGUUGGUCAGAAUGUGCAGGCGAAGGCUCAAGGAGCUGCUGAUGCAGUCAAGAAUGCCACUGGCAUGAACAAAUGAAGCUGCUCAUGAUGAUCAUUUUCAUGACUUUUAAUGACUUUAUAGAGUUAAGAUGAUGGCAAACUUUCAUUGAGUUUUAUAGACUUUUAUGUAAUUUUUUCUUUCUUUCUUACCCUUCUUUUGAAAGAAUGAAUUGAAAAUUUCAUAGAAUUCUAAAAUGAUGGAAUUUAGAUCUCCAUCAUUUUAAGUUACGACAAUUAAUAUAAUUUCAGUGUUCGGAUUUAUGUAUAUCGAAUUUUACAAUUGAAAUUUCAGGGAAAAACGAAUUCCUUCACUCAAUAGAAAUUAUGAAAUGACUUCUCUUUUGAUUGAAAUUAAACUCAGAAAUCUUGAGUGCUUAACGUUCGUGCCAAAGUAGCCAAACAAUGGAAAUAUUAAAUUCUACUCUUCAAUUCUUAACUUUUAGCUAAAUAAUUAACGUAGGGGAAUAGCAGUAUGUAGUAUGACCACAAGAAAACAGAUUCUAAUAUUAUCUUUUGAUCAUGUUGAAUUAACUCAUGAGAUCUAUAUAACCAAACUAAUUAUUCAUGUAGAGAUUGAAGAAUAUCAAUUAUGAAUUCGUUGGGUUUGAGACUUUUUCAUCUCUGAUUUCUAAAGGUCUCAUUCUGAGCAUGGGUGCCUUAGAGCUUUUUGAAAUAUCCACCAGUUGACCAAAGACAUUAAAAUGCACUCAAGUCAAGAAACAAGACUCCAGAAAUCAGAAAUACAAGAGAACCAAACACACACGAAAAUACAGAAUGUGAAUAACUAAGCACGUGAAAGAAUGUAGCGUGCAUGAAAGAGCUGGUGUAUGCAUUAUUUUUUCCGUAAUAAGUGGUCAUAGAACUAAGCACGUGACAGAAUAUAGCGUGCAUGAUGAUGUAUAAAACUCGUUACACGUAAGAUUUUUUAUGAUUAAAGAUAAAAUGGACACUUGCCCAGAAACUGAAGGAUAAUAUCGUUUUUAACUCAUGUGAGGGAUAACCCAACAAGUUUAUUAGCAUUUACUCAUAAGAUGUUCUGGCCUUUCAAUCAAAUAACAAUAUCUCGUGGAUUGUGGAACAGUCUUCUGAAUUGUAAUUAAUAGAUAAUAUAAUCCAAUAUAAGAAUUCCAUAAUGCUGAAAAAAGUCAUUUUCAUUCACAAAACUGUCUAAGAAACCCUCAGAAUAGCAACUUUUAAGACUCAACAGCCUUCCUGGUCAAAAGGCUCACCCUAAGUAAUUGGGCGACACGUGUUAUGGUCCAAAACCAUGACCAGGAUGAAAUGUGUGCAUGACAUCACACAUGUCGAGCAUUCAGCUGGUCUAAAAUCGUAUAUAAACCAUACCCAAUUGUGAUCAGCAAAUCAAAUUUGAGUUAUAACAACUUCAUCUGAAUUUCAAGUGUUUUCAAGAAAACAAAGUAAGAAGAAAAUGGCUGACAACUCUCAAAAGAUGAGCUACCACGCUGGAGAGGCCAAGGGCCAAGCUCAGGUAAUUAGCUCACCUGUAAAUUGUAAUUUUCCAUUUGUUUUUGCUUCUUUCUUCUGUUUUUUUAUAGAUUAAUGUGGGAUGUUUUGUAUUGGAUAAUUUUGGAUUUAACAGGAGAAGGCCGGUGGGAUGAUGGAUAAGGCUAACAAUGCAGCCCAAUCUACCAAGGAGACAAUGCAAGAUGUUGGUCAAAAUGUGCAGGCGAAGGCUCAAGGGGCUGCUGAUGCAGUCAAGAAUGCCACUGGCAUGAACAAAUGAAGCUGCUCAUGAUGAUCAUUUUCAUGACUUUUAAUGACUUUGUAGAGUUAAGAUGAUGGCAAAAUUUCAUUGAGUUUUAUAGACUUUUAUGUAAUUUUUUUUUUCUUUCUUACCCUUCUUUAGAAAGAAAGAAUUUAAAAUUACAUAGAAUUCCAAAAUGAUGGAAUUUAGAUCUCCAUCAUUUUAAGUUACGGCAAUUAAUAAUUUCAGUAUUUGGAUUUAUGUAUAUCGAAUUUUACAAAUAAAAUUUCACGGAAAAACGAAUUCCUUCACUCAAUAGAAAUUGCGAAAUGACGUCUCUUUUUAUUGAAAUUAAACCCAGAAAUCUUGAGUGCUUGACUUUUGUGCUAAAAUAGCCAAACAGUGAAAGUAUUAAAUUCUACUCUUCAAUUCUUUACUUUUAGCUAAAUAAUUAACGUAGGGUAAUAGCAGUAUGUAGUAUGACCAAAAGAAAACGAAUUCUAAUAUUAUCUUUUGAUCAUGAUGAAUUAACUCUUGAGAUCUAUAUAACCAAAAUAAUUAUUCAUGUAGAGAUUGAUGAAUAUCAAUUAUGAAUUCGUUGGGUUUGAGACAAUUUCAUCUCUUAUUUCUAAAGGUCUCAUUCUCGGCCUGGGUGCCUUAGAGCUUUUUGAAAUAUCCACCAGUUGACCAAACACAUUAAAAUGCACUCAAGUCAAGAAACAAGACUCGUAAAUCAGAAAUACAAGAGAACCAAACACGCACAAAAAUACAUAAUGUGAAUGAACUUGGGGUAAUUAUCAAGUAGAAAAUUUUAUAUAAAGCCGGUGUAUGCCUUAUUUUCCUCGUAAUAAGUGUUCACAUAACUAAGCACGUGAAAGAAUGUAGCGUGCAUGAAAGAGUUGGUAUAUGCAUUAUUUUUCUCGUAAUAAGUGGUCACAUAACUAAGCACGUAAAAGAACAUAGCGUGCAUGAUAAUGUAUAAAACUCAUUACACGUAAGAUUUUUUGUGGUUAAAGAUAAAACACUUGUCCAGAAACUUUGGGACAAUAUCGCUUUUAACUCAUGUGGAGGUUAACCCAACAAGUUUAUUAGCAUUUACUCAUUAAUUAGAUGUUCUGGCCUUUCAAUCAAAUAAUAAUAUCUUGUGGCUUAUGGAACAAUCUUGUGAAUUGUAAUUAAUUGAUAAUAUAAUCCAAUAUUACAAUAAUUCCAUAAUGCUGAAAAAAGUAAUUUCCAUUCAAAAAACUGUCUAAGAAACCCUCAGAAUAGCAACUUGGAAGACUCAACAGCCUUCCUGGUCAGAAGGCUCACCCUAAGUUAUAGGGCGACACGUUUUAUGGUCCAAAACCAUGACCUGGAUGAAAUGUGUGCCUGGCAUCACACAUGUCGAGCAUUCAGCUGGUCUAAAAUCGUAUAUAAACCAUACCCAAUUGUGAGAUAUUCAUCAUUAGCAAACCAAAUUUGAGGUAUAAAAACAUCAUCUGAAUUUCAAGUGUUUUCAAGAAAACAAAGCAAGAAGAAAAUGGCUGACAACUCUCAGAAGAUGAGCUACCACGCUGGUGAGGCCAAGGGCCAAGCUCAGGUAAUUAGCUCAUGUGUAAUUCUCCAUUUGUUUUUACUUAUUUCUUCUACUUUCUUUUAAAUAUUACAUUAUUAUAUGUGAAUGUGCAUUGAGAUUGAUGUGGGGUGUUUUGUAUUGGAUACUUUUGGAUUUAACAGGAGAAGGCUAGUGGGAUGAUGGAUAAAGCUAACAAUGCAGCCCAAUCUACCAAGGAGACAAUGCAAGAUGUUGGUCAGAAUGUGCAUGCGAAGGCUCAAGGAGCUGCUGAUGCAGUCAAGAAUGCAACUGGCAUGAACAAAUGAAGCUGCUCAUGAUGAUCAUUUUCAUGACUUUUAAUGACUUUAUAGAGUUAAGAUGAUGACAAACUUUGUUUGAGUUUUAUAGACUUUUAUGUAAUUUUUUUUUCUUUCUUACUCUUCUUUUGAACGAAGGAACUGAAAAUUGCAUAGAAUUCUAAAAUGAUUGAAUUUAGAUCCCCAUCGUUUUCAUUUAUGGUAAUUAAUAAUUUUAGUAUUCGGAUUUAUGUAUGUUAAAUUUUGUAAAUGACAUAAAUUUU